UUUCUUUCAUCAGUUGUUAAUGAUAAGAGUCUGAGGUGUGUGUGUGUGUGUGUGUGUGUGUGUUCAGUGCUGCUGUUCCCCGAGGCGUGUGCAGUCAGUGUCGUUCUCUGGAGCGGAUGGUGCAGGUGGAGCAGGAGUAUCCCGGAGGAGUGGAGCACAUCUUCAGUCCUGGCUGUGUGCCGCUGCUCCGGAUGCUGCAGCGAUGACGAGCUGGAGUGUUUCCCCGUCAGCACACAUAACAUCAGCAUCCAGCUGUUGAGGAUGACUCCGGCGGAGAGGAGCAGAGAAUAUGUGCUGCUUUCCUUCCUGGAGCACCAGAGCUGUGAGUGCAGGUACACACACACCUACACACACCUGCACACACACACACCUGUAGAUACACCUGCACACACAGUACACACACCUGCACACACACACACCUGCACACACACACCUACACACACCUGCACACACACACACCUGUAGAUACACCUGCACACACACACACCUGUAGAUACACCUGCACACACAGUACACACACACACCUGUACACACACACACACACCUGUCUCUCCACUGCGCUGGACUUUAAGUUUGCUUUACAUUUAUCCAAGUCUCUUAUUUCCUGACAUUCAGGCCCAGACGACACCACCUGAGAAAUCAGCAGUGAGGAUUGAUUGAUUGCUUGAUGUUUCCUGUAUGUUAAUCAAUCAAUCAAUCACCUUUAUUUAUAUAGUGCUUUAAACAAAAUACAUUGCAUCAAAGCACUGAACAACAUUCAUUUGGAAAACAGUGUCUCAAUAAUGCAAAAUGAUAAAGGCAGUUCAUCAUUGAAUUCAGUGAUGUCAUCUCUGUUAAUGACAGACAUGAAGGAUGGGGAUGUUCUUCUCCUGCAGGAGGAGACGGAGAGAGAGGACGGACGGAGAUCGAGACUCUGCUGGGGUCAGGUAUGAAAGGUUUGACAAAAUUCAUCAUCUUCUAAGUUCUCAACCGUCACAGCAGAUGCAGUUACUUAAAAGUGCCGCUAAACCCAUGUACGUGUGUGUGUAUAUAACUUAUUUAUGUCUUUAAUGCCCUGCUGUAGAUGUGAUGAUAAUUAUGGCCAAUAGGCACCAACUGUCUUCAUUCAUCACACAAGCACUUCUGGACAUUACUGUGGUCAGUCUGACCCGACCCGGAUCAGUAUCAGCCAUAAAACCAGAAGCAACUGGGUCUUGCCAUGCAGUGCAUGUUCAUAUCACGUGUGUUAAUAUAUUUCAUAAAACAAACUAACAGUAUUUAAAAAAAAUUCUACUUUUAUAUUUUAUCAGAAUGGAAUGAGUGAAUUGUAUUUACGUUUCUGCGUUUAGUCGAAGCUUUUAUGUAAAGCGAUUUACAAAAGAGAACAUUUUUAAAUAAUGUCUCAUGUCAUAAAUUAAAGUGAUAUUAGUGUUACAUGACACAUCUGACAGGAGACACUCUGCGCUCGAACACAUUGUCCUCGCGUCGCUCGACAGUCACGUGUUUAAGCUUAGCGUUGUUUUGGUCACUGGCCAAUGCGAGGCGAGCUUGAAGAAUGACGCUGUCACUUCCGCCAACAGACCCACCCACUUUUUUGCCAUAAAAGGAAAGCCCAUGACCAAAGCACAUUCCCCCGAUAAGCCCCGCCUCCUGGGAUAAGGAUAGGCCGGUCGGAGAGAUUUAGUCGCCUGCGAUUGGAUUAGACCACAAGUCAAUCACGUAGCUGUUAGCAACCAUCGAAACGCUGAAGAAUCCAACGUAAAUACAGCGAAUGAAUAACACGAUCACGCUCCAUUGUAAGUCUAAGGCAAACUUUAUUUAUCUAUUCAGAUGCAUAUUAAUGCAGUAAUGUGUCUAAUUUUUAAUUUAAUGUGUGUCAUUAAUGUUAGACGUCAGUCGGGGGCGAGGCUUCUGCGUCACAGGUCUCGUGUACAGCACCGUGUUGCCGCGACGGGAACGAUCAGGGCGUCUGACCGAACACAAGCAGCCUGAACGCGGUAAGAUUCUGCUGAAUCGCACCGAGCGAGCACAGAACGAGCACAGAACGUUGUUAUAAGGCACUCUGAACGCCGGAUCUGAGCGUGUUUUCAUCAUCUCUGGGGAUUCCCGGUUCCCGGAUGAAGUCACGGCGCGCACGUACUCUGUCACGAGCAACUCUCCGUGCUAAACCGCGCGUUCUGACCGGAUGAACGUUUGUCAAAGUGCGUCGGAUAAAAAGUUAGCGUGCUUUUGAGGAGAAACUUAAACGGCAGCCCUGCUUUUAACGACUGUUUACUCUUGGCCCGUAUCACCAUGUCGUUUCAGCUUGACGUUUAGACACGAAACUGUUUUUUUUUUAUUUAAUUAUGUUUACUUACUCGCACGAUAAACAGCGUAGAUCUAUCCGGUAGGCCGUUUGACACAGCUAACGAGCGACUGACGCGACCCGGAGAUGCGACGUCAUACCUGACCCGAUGACGUCAUGACGCUCGGUUUACAACAACCGUAAUCAUAAUAUCGUUAAUAAUAGACAAUAACGCUAAUAAUUACUGUUUAUUAAAAAUAUGAUGUGUUGUAGAAACAGUUAUAAGCUCUCUGUAGGUGAUCAGCUUGUUAUUUUAGUAUCUCUGAGUUUGCAAACAGUGAUGACGUUUUUGUUUGUUUAUAUUUCCUCAGGCUGGUGGCAGAAGAUGACAGUUUUAAAGUAGAUGUCUAUUGAAACCACUGAAUAAAAAGGUAAUUUUGAGUUUGUAUAUCCAAAUUUUGAUGAACUUAAAAUAUCUCACAGUUCAGAUAAGAAAAAUCAACAGCUUAUAAAGAGUUAUAAAGUCCGAACUAGAUGUUUGUAUCUUCACU
Carassius auratus (goldfish) is the source of this 2814-nucleotide long non-coding RNA. The record is from Ensembl. Lineage: Eukaryota; Metazoa; Chordata; Actinopteri; Cypriniformes; Cyprinidae.